Molecule: long non-coding RNA, 1523 nt
Organism: Eriocheir sinensis (Chinese mitten crab)
Lineage: Eukaryota; Metazoa; Arthropoda; Malacostraca; Decapoda; Varunidae
Exons: 3
Source: RefSeq, a predicted model, not a curated record
CUCUGAAGGAGAAGGACGUGCCAGUCGCUUGAAGGAUUCUUUUUCCCGCUAAAGCAUCGAUUAUAAGUAUUGACGGGCGGGGAUGGCGGGUGGAGGCAGACUGAUGGGCCAGGUGAGCCAAGGUGUGCAGUGAGCCACCAAUGAGAUGGACGGGCGUAGUGUGUUGCCUCGUCGCCGCCCGCCUGUACCGACUCCGAUGCACGCGGGCAAAUUAAUCAUUGGCGUCGAGGUGGUUCUGCUGAGGUGACUGGAUGGUUAAGCUGACACCAAGAUUGUUUUAAGUGACCUUCUCAAGGACCUGCUGACAUUGAGGAGAGCUACUCAAGCUCUGGAACAAGUUUGGAGCUUAAAGACAAGUCUUCUACUCAGAUUUGAGAUAAGCAUGUUGAGUAUAUUCAUGUUAAUGUUGGUUUUGAACUUUUUUCUUGAUGGGCAAAGUUUAGAGGGUCAACAUUUCCAUGGAUAGUGUUUCUUGGGGGUGAAGUUUAUUUGUCUGAGUAUAUUGUAGAUUUGAAGGGAAACUCACCUUUAUGAAUGAGGUACAUAUGCAUACUAUCCUUGCUACACCCCAUGCAUCUCAAAUACAUAAGCUUCCCUGCCUCAGUUCUACAUUUGAGUUUUUCCAUAAGCCAAUUUCAAUCCCAUCCCACUUGCAAAUGUAAAAUCAUCUCAUAUUAUGCAAAGCUCAUACCCCUUUAAUGACAGGCCCUGGGAAGCUUCUCUUUUUUGAUGCACCACUUUUCUUCCACCUUUCUUCUGGUUGCAACUAAUGAGUGGUCAGGCUUAAGUGACUAAACUAACCUAUAAAUGUUAUUUCAUUUAUCUGUCAAGCCAGAUUCAACUUGAAAGCUAACUUUCUCUUCCAUAACUCACCAUCUGGAGUAGUGCUCCACCAGUAACUGAUCCAGCAGUUCACAAACACGAUAAAGCCGAGAGAGGAAGGCAUAGUGUUUGUAGAUUCCAUAGUUUACAAAUUCCAAGUCUAAAGGAAGGCCGGAUCAUCGGUGUUAUAUCUGGGAAUUAAAACAUCAGUCAUGAUAGAUCUGCACAAAAACAAUGGAAAUCAGGGAUAUAGAGAUCAUUCUCUCUGCAGUUCUGUAGCCCUGCCCAUGGCUAAAAGUCAACCUGAUCCAAGGGCUUGCAACCCCUCCAUAUAGAACCAUAUAGAACUAUAACCCCUCUCGACUUUUAAGAAGUAGAGGUCAGGAUUGAGGCUCCAGUGGCUACCACAACCUGGUUCUGUUUGGAGGCCUGACCAUGCACUGGGCUUCCUUGGUGCAUCUGCAUCAAAUAAGCUUCCCGCCUAGGACAGGUAUAGAGUAAAGCCUGUGGGACUCUUGUAUCCUGAAAGGGGGCCUAUUAGCCUCCCCCCCGUUUUUUUUUUAGAUUUUGUCAAUGAUACGGUAAUCCUCACAGCUGCUGGAGGUUCCAGUGAUGGCUCUCAAUGAACUUAAAGGGAGAUGCCAUUGGGACUUUGGUCUCCUUGGCAAAGAUUAAAACACAAGUGCCCUGCCCUAUGCCCC